UUCUCUUAUUCCUACUUCUCUCCUCCUUUCCCUCUCUUCUCUCAAACUCAAUCCUGCUCAUCCUACCAGCUCCUCUCCUCAUUCUACGUGCUCCUUUUUCUGCUCCUUGCCUCUACUUUUUGCAGCUACCUUCCUCUUAUACUCUUUUUUCCUCCUAUAGUAUUCUUUCUCUUUAUUCUUUUUCUCAUCAUCCUUUGACGAACUUUUGCUGACUGGAGAGUCUGAGGACUGACUAUAGCCCCACAUCUACUCAAGAGCUUGCUUGGAUGCCAACAGAAGAAUAUAAGGUAAUCACAAGGCCCACCCUGAACAAGUGACUAAAGAAGAAUAAAAAUCCUGCUGGAUGAAAGAUCCAAAGACCUACAAAGAGAAAUUUACCCCCAAAAUUAUUCUUUUGGUUGAAGAAUGAGGACUGCAUUGGGUAGAAGAAUCCAAAGAAGAGAUGGACAACAAAACUACAAACAAGGC
Long non-coding RNA from Gorilla gorilla gorilla (western lowland gorilla), 468 nucleotides. RefSeq lists it as uncharacterized. The record is from RefSeq and is a predicted model, not a curated record. Lineage: Eukaryota; Metazoa; Chordata; Mammalia; Primates; Hominidae. The transcript has 3 exons.